Aegilops tauschii subsp. strangulata is the source of this 572-nucleotide long non-coding RNA. RefSeq lists it as uncharacterized. NCBI's taxonomy places the organism in Eukaryota, Viridiplantae, Streptophyta, Magnoliopsida, Poales, Poaceae. The record is from RefSeq and is a predicted model, not a curated record.
AAUUCCCGAAGCACCCGUUUGGCACACAGGGCUUGACCGGGCUGCCACUCUCGAUCCCGUGAGCAUCGAGGGUGAGCUCGCGGCUCGCGUGGAACCGGACGAGACGGGAGAGGAAACCGCCGGCGGCGGCUUCCUCUUCUUCCCCGGCAAGCUGAUCUUCUCGCCGGAGCCGCAUUCCCUUCUUUGCUUGGCAAGUUGCAUUUUCCCCGAUAAGGAUGGAGAAGCCCAAACUCAUGGAGUCAUAUUGAAGCAUUGGCCGGCAAGAUAAAGGGAUGACCCAAGUGACAGACACCAGUUGAAUCAACUGUCUCCAUAGCUUCUUAACACCAUAGUUACUACAAUUUAAACUUUGUCUUGGCUAAGUUUCUGUUGGGUUUAACACACAGUAAAAUCUUCUUGAAUAGUAUUGUGGGUUCCUUUUGCAUGAGUUUUAAAUUUUUAUGGCAGUGACAUGCAUGCUUGAGAUGCUAGUUCAAAGUACAUGGCACCUUAGUUAUCAAUAUUGCGAGAUUGAUGUGUCCUUUUAAUUUGGCUGAUUGCUAUUUGUGGGUGUCACUGUUAAUUUGACAUGA